CCUACGGGAGGCUUCAGUGAGGAAUAUUGAUCAAUGGGCGCUAGCCUGAACCAGCCAAGUAGCGUGAAGGAUGACUGCCCUAUGGGUUGUAAACUUCUUUUAUAUGGGAAUAAAGUGCAGUAUGUAUACUGCUUUGCAUGUACCUUAUGAAUAAGGAUCGGCUAACUCCGUGCCAGCAGCCGCGGUAAUACGGAGGAUCCGAGCGUUAUCCGGAUUUAUUGGGUUUAAAGGGAGCGUAGGCGGGUUGUUAAGUCAGUUGUGAAAGUUUGCGGCUCAACCGUAAAAUUGCAGUUGAUACUGGCAGCCUUGAGUACAGUAGAGGUAGGCGGAAUGCGUGGUGUAGCGGUGAAAUGCUUAGAUAUCACGAAGAACUCCGAUUGCGAAGGCAGCCUGCUGGACUGUAACUGACGCUGAUGCUCGAAAGUGUGGGUAUCAAACAGGAUUAGAUACCCCUGUAGUC
Molecule: ribosomal RNA, 460 nt
Filed under: uncultured bacterium
Lineage: Bacteria
Description: partial 16S ribosomal RNA
Rfam family: Bacterial small subunit ribosomal RNA
Source: RNAcentral